RNAcentral lists this ribosomal RNA (97 nucleotides) under Castor canadensis (American beaver). Lineage: Eukaryota; Metazoa; Chordata; Mammalia; Rodentia; Castoridae. The record is from RNAcentral.
GUCUACAGCCAUACCACCCUGAACAUGCCCAAUCUCAUCUGAUUUCAGAAGCUAAGCAGGGUCGGGCCUGGUUAGUACUUGAUGGGAGCCAAAGGCU